AAACAAGCAUACAAAUCUUGUCUCGUCUUAUGUUUGGAACCUCAGCAUGCUCCAGCUCUCCGGCCUUUCAUGAACCUCUUCCAGUGCCUGGUGACUUCCUCCUGAGUCUCUCUCACACUCUUCUUAAGUGGUUUAUCACCCUGAGUUUCGUUGACCAUGGGUGUGACAUGGGCAGUUUUCGUGGAUACACGACUUGGAAGCGAGUCAAUUUCCUUCAAAACUUCCUCGAUGUGUGAGAUGAGUCUUUCCACCAAGCUACGGCUGAAAUCCUCCCUGACAACCACCCGAAGAACCGCCACAUUUUCAGCAUUAGCAGGCAUUGUAUAGGCCGGAACUAUCCACCCAAACUUUCUCAAACCCUCGGAUAUCUCAAACACGGUGUGUGCGCUGCUGUCCUUCAAAGAAAAGGCUACUAAGGGUACGCCAACAUCCUUGGAGAGAAUUUCAAAGCGCCCUGUUUUCUCUAAUCCUUCUCUUAGCGCUCUAGCAUUCCCCAUGCAAUUUUCCAUAAUGUUCUUGUAACCCUAGUUUACAGGACAAGAAAAGGACAUACCUUGAGACUUGAAAUAAAAGUAAAGGUAAUUUCCUGGACAAAUACAGGCCAAAUUGUACAUUUUAUUGAAUAUAUGAGCAGUCAGAAUCAUUUCAAAUCUAGCAAACACUAGUCAGUUUAAUAUCCAAAAAACAUGAGACAACAAGAAAAUUGAUCCCAUCACAACUGAUCGAUUUUGGUGCAUCAGUUCUCAACCUCAUUUUGUCAAUGUCUACCGGUAACAAACUAACUUUAACUGAUGAACUUUAACAAUAUGCCAUAUGAACACUUACAAAUUAACAGGAUUUCAUAGUACAUGCAAAGUGUCAUAAAAGUAGGAGGAAUGUAUCACAAAGAAACUUGAGAGUUUUUUAUGAUCAACACAACAAAAAGAUGGAAUUACCUCAAAGCCAAGCCGUAUAAACUGAUAAUAUUGAGCAAUUAUUUGACUGGAGCCUGCCAAAUAGGAAUGAUUGUCAAUUACAAAAAUACAACUACAAUGGUCGCAAAAAUAUCAAAUUUACAAGUCAUCUUCCAUUCAAUGGAACAACACAAUGUUCUUGUAACAGAUUACUUGACAGAUGCUCUUGUAAAACGAUAUAGGCCCAUUGGUGUGUCUUAGCUCAAACGAAAAACAGUAAGACCUCUAGAAGGUAGUACAGAAUAGUUUAGGUUGAAAUGCAGAUGGUUUGGGUUUCAUUUUAUGCAAUAUUUAAAAAAUAUAUAUAUAUAUUGAGAAUUUAGAGAUUUUUUUAAAAGCAAAAGACAAAUAGCCUUCAAAGCAAACAAUAAAUUUUUUAAAAAGGCAAGUUUUGAGGCUAAAGUCUAUCAAUUGAUAAACAGUGAGAAUAUAGUUAAUGACAUAAUGACUCUUGAUGACAUUAGUUUUGGCAUCACUUCUUAUGAAUUCUUAAAGCUCUAAUUUGAAUUUUCCAUUGAAAAACUCUUCAAACUUCCAUCCAUUUUUUUCAGUAAGUUAUCCUUAGUAUCUGCCCAAUCCUACAACUGUUAACAACCAAUACAGGGGAAAUGUCAUCAAACUAUUUGAAUUUUCCAUUGAAAAACUCUUCUAACUUCCCAUCCAUUUUUUUCAGUAAGUUAUCCUUAGUAAGUAUCUGCCCAAUCCUACAACUAUAACAACCAAUACAGGGGAAAUGUCAUCAAACUCUAAAGCAGCCACCAAAACAGAACGUAAACUUAACCCCCAAGUCCUAAAUCUUAAAACUUUAACCCUAAAAAGAUUCACUGUCCUCUAUGAUUAGCACAAACAGGAGAAAUAACACCCUAAUGAAAUGCUUGAAAACACAAAAGUUUACAAGAUUAUGGGUAAAUGUACACUAACGAGCUUUUGUUCUGGUUUAGGUAAGAUAUACUUAAAAAGUAUGACUUUAAAGUUUGAUAUAGUUUAAAAUUUAAAGUUUAGCUGUAAGAAUAGCCUUGAAUUGUGUGUUUAAAACUUUAAAAUCAUACUUAAAACUUACUUUCCUUCCUAAACCUUAACAAAUGGCCUUGCCCCCGAGCACGUGCCCCUUACCUUCAAUCAUUUUGUCUGUUCCAGCUUUUUAGCUGGGGAUUAGUGGUUGCGUUUGCAAGGCUAUGUUACCGCAUAAAUGUGAUACCACUCAUAGUGGUGGCAGGUUUGAGCUUUCAUUUUAAUAUUGAGGUGGCUGCAUGAUUUAGGGUGUGUGGAUUCCCACUUCUUUAUGCAUGCAUACACAUCUAAUCUGCAAUAAUUUAUAACUAAAGCAUCUAAAAAGAAUUUAAAAUCAUUGUCUGAUAAACACGAACAAGAAGUUAAAUAAAUUGCGUGUGCUCAACUUAAAACAUAUUUUAGCGUUAUAUAGUCAAAAACCAUAUCUUUAUUAUAAACAUGCCUUUUUGAAAAGAUUACACAAAUAAAAAAGCUUGUGAAAAUCACCAAUUGAUCUGUAUGCCAUGGAAAUUCUAGAAACAAGAUGCAAUAUCUACAUAAGUGCUUCACAUAUUAGAAAAUAAAAUCCGAGUUAUCUAGUAGCAAAAUUAUCCUUUAAACAUACUGUUUAUAUUUAUAAUGAUGAGAAAGCGUAAACUUAUGCACACAGGUAGAUGGAGAAAUGCUUAGUUGAUAUAUGAAAUGAACAUAUGCGCAGACAUGUAUGUGUAUUACCUUUUGAGAAGUUGAGGGUGAAAGUCGGUUGAUCAGAUCCAAGGUAGUUGAUGUGAAAGACAAGUUCAUCCGGCAAGUCAUCUUUGGUCCUCCAGACAACCCAGCCAACACCUGCAUAUACAAGGCCGUACUUGUGACCACUGACAUUAAUGCUCUUCACCAGUGGCAAACGGAAAUCCCAUUCAAGGUCUGGAUAGAGAAAAGGAGCAAUAAAUCCGCCGCUAGCAGCAUCAACAUGAAUGGGGGU
RNAcentral lists this long non-coding RNA (2925 nucleotides) under Citrus sinensis (sweet orange). Its description in RNAcentral is "long non-coding RNA (CSIN_LNC002093)". The record is from RNAcentral. Lineage: Eukaryota; Viridiplantae; Streptophyta; Magnoliopsida; Sapindales; Rutaceae.